Varanus komodoensis (Komodo dragon) is the source of this 2768-nucleotide long non-coding RNA. RefSeq lists it as uncharacterized. The transcript is spliced from 3 exons. NCBI's taxonomy places the organism in Eukaryota, Metazoa, Chordata, Lepidosauria, Squamata, Varanidae. The record is from RefSeq and is a predicted model, not a curated record.
GACUAGAACCCAGAUCGCCUGAGUCCCAGUCCCACGCUCUUAACCACUACACCACACUGGUUGGCAGGUCAGUGAUGGGAAGAGGGGGAAGGCCAUGCCCCAGCAUCCCCAUUUGUUGGGCAGAAUGGGGGGCCCAGGCUACUUUAAGCCCAGGGCAGCUACACAGCCCAUCUAUCAGACACACAGUCACACACCCAUAUACACACACAGAACCUGCCAUUUUUAGCUCUGGCAAGAGGCCCUGGCCUAGGGGAACCUCCCCAUCUCUUUUAGUGCUGACCAUGUAGCUGGAACAGCAUGCCACAGCUCAACAGAAGCUCAGGUUUUCUCAUGUACUGUAGAAAUAAAAGGAACCUUUUGUGAUGCUUGAACCUAUUGUGCAUUGCCUAAAGGGCAAAGCCUAGCAGAGGGCUUCAAAUAAAGCAAGUCACCUCCCCCACUCCCAUUCAACAUGCUUCUUCCUGGAAAGAACGGCUGUGGGUAGAAGGACCUUGUCUCUGGAUGUACCUCUCUCAGCAGCCUUCGUACCCAAGUUACCAAAUCUACCAGAAAUAAUAGAGGCUAUCUUCUCUGAUGCUAUCAGGGCUUUUUAAUAAUACUUAUACAAAGAAAAAGAUGCAGUUCCAAAAGAACACUGUUGUAGCCCAACAUUUGAAAGUUGUAUUGUUAGUGAAAAAGUGUCUGAUAAUGUAAAAAAUAAAGUGGGUAGUCUAAGUUCCUCUUGAACCCUACACAGAUGAAGCAUUUUUACUUAUCCUUCUACUAAAAAAAGGCAUUACCUGCAAAAUGCACUGCUAGAGCUUUCUUCCUCAGCCUGGUGCCCUUCAGAUGUCUUGGAACUCAGUUCCCAUCAGCCCAAACUAGUAUGCUAAGUGCUGGCCCUGAAUACUGAUUGCUGCCCAAAACAUGCAGAGAGCAUCAAACUGGGGGAAAUUGUUCUAAAGCACAUUCACCAAUGUUUCCAGGAUUAUGGAAAUUGUUGCUGGAUGAAUUAUGCAGGGAGGUCAAUUUUAUGAUAAUGGUAGUAAUACCAUAAAAAAGACAGCUGUGUGGGGCUUGUGCACUGUGGUUUCUUUUUUUUCUUCUUGUCCCUAGGUGUCUUUUUUUCUUUAUCCAACACUCAGAUAAUGUUUGUUGGAGUUCAUGAUUUUUUUUCUCAACAUAACACUCUUUUUUUCAUUAGUGCUGUUCAGUUCCAAGGAUCUUCUGCUACUCUGCAUAUGUUUCUAAAUCUCAUGCAAUGUGACCUUAAAUGAGGAGAACUUAUAAUGAAAAGUGCACAGGUGUUCAAUCCAUGUAUAAUACAUGCACCCAUUACAACCACAAACUGCUGUGUAGCUCUGCACAAUCCUGCAAGAAUUCCUGUGGAUGCCCAUGGUAAAAUCUUUGCAUUCUAGCAGCCCCUGUUCCUCCAUCUAUAAAAAGAGGGAAAUAGAAAACUCCUACAUCAUGUGCUCAUAUGAAUGAGUCACAGAAAGUUUGCCACUUGCCCCAGUCUUUCAAACAAAAAAAGCUAUAAAGUUUUUUUCCCCUUUUUUUAAUCACUCAAGAACAAAAGGUGUGACGGCUAUUUCCACAAACUUAGUGGAAAAACUUUAUAAAACUUUGAUUGAAAAGAAAAAAAGGAAAGAAAGGAAAGGAAAGUAAGUUACACUGGAUAAUAAGCGUUUCCUGUGGUGCAUGAUAAAGACAUGGGUGGGAGAAGGGGUUACAAAGAAAGACAACAGCCACUCAACUCCAGUCUCCCCUCUCGCUCCCCCCAACUCUGCUAAUGAGGCGAUCCAGAGCACAGGCUGCCAAAUACCUCUCUUCCACCGCCUCCCUAAAAAUCCACCCCCGCUCCUUAUAGCCAAGGAGAGAACCCAGGAGUCCUGGCGUCCAGCCACCUCUGAAGUCACAACUAACAUUACCACAACCGGUUUGUUGUCGUGGGGCGGGGAAGAAAAGCAUAGGGAUAUCAGUUUUCUGGCUCGAUUCCGGGGGGAAAGCAAUUUCCCAUCCCCAGUGGCGUUGGGGGAGCAGACAGAGUGCGCGGCACGACGCGAAGCACGCCGAGGACAGCUCCGCGGCGGCGCAGUCUGCCUGGGAGAAAAGCAGCGACAUGGCAACAUAAGCCGCUUCCCAGUUAUAAAUAGAGACCCCGAGAGAUGGAGAGCACAAGGAUAAAGAUACGCUGACAACCCCUGAAGUGGGCAUGGUGAACAGCUCCUAACAGAGAAAAAAAUGCUACAAGAUGCUUUGCUGUUCGUUCUGCUGUCGACUAGCACAACUACCCUUUGAACAUGGCUCCAAAAUAUGACCAUCGGUGGUUCCUGCAAGAAAGCUGCCUCCUACCCUACAGUCUCUCCCCAAUGAAUUCCUAGAAACAAAUCAAUAUAACUGCAUAUACACAGUCGCAACGAGCUGUAAAAGUCUCAGGGGGAACUCAGGCUGGAAAGAACAUUAAUCUCCAGGCAGGGCUCUUGUGCCAGGUGGCCAGCAGGGGAGCCACAAUGCUGGGCGUACAAGGGAGAAGCCUCCAAAUGAAGAUGGGAUGGAAGAGGAGAGGAAGCCGUUUCCGAGACUGAAGCAUCCCUGCACACCAACAUUUGUUUGGUUCAUUUUUUAAAGUUGAGCAGAAAAAAGCAGAUGAGGUUCUGCAGUAAAUCUUAUUUAAACAAAAAAGAGUUUUUAAAAUAUGAGUUAAAAAUAAGAGUAAACCAAAACAACUUGGUUUCUCCUGCAAAGCAGUUAAAUCAUUUGACUCAAUAAAGCUUAGGAGCAAAGCA